UGAANUUAAAGGCAUUGGCUCAACCAANGUAUGCUUUGGAAACUGUUAGACUUGAGUGCAGAAGGGGAGAGUGGAAUUCCAUGUGUAGCGGUGAAAUGCGUAGAUAUAUGGAGGAACACCGGUGGCGAAAGCGGCUCUCUGGUCUGUCACUGACGCUGAGGCUNGAAAGCGUGGGUAGCGAACAGGAUUAGAUACCCUGGUAGUCCACGCCGUAAACGCUGAGUGCUAGGUGUUAGGUCCUUUCCGGGACUUAGUGCCGACGCUAACGCAUUAAGCACUCCGCCUGGGGAGUACGACCGCAAGGUUGAAACUCAAAGGAAUUGACGGGGGCCCGCACAAGCGGUGGAGCAUGUGGUUUAAUUNGAAGCAACGCGAAGAACCUUACCAGGUCUUGACAUCCCGAUGCCCGCUCUAGAGAUAGAGUUUUUCUUCGGAACAUNGGAGACAGGUGGUGCAUGGUUGUCGUCAGCUCGUGUCGUGAGAUGUUGGGUUAAGUCCCGCAACGAGCGCAACCCUUAUUGUUAGUUGCCAUCAUUAAGUUGGGCACUCUAGCGAGACUGCCGGUAAUAAACCGGAGGAAGGUGGGGAUGACGUCAAAUCAUCAUGCCCCUUAUGACCUGGGCUACACACGUGCUACAAUGGUUGGUACAACGAGUCGCAAGCCGGUGACGGCAAGNUAAUCU
RNAcentral lists this ribosomal RNA (683 nucleotides) under uncultured bacterium. RNAcentral's name for it is "bacterial SSU rRNA". It matches the Rfam family "Bacterial small subunit ribosomal RNA", at positions 590 to 1274 of the family's 1533-position model. The record is from RNAcentral.